RNAcentral lists this long non-coding RNA (371 nucleotides) under Nicotiana tabacum (common tobacco). RNAcentral's name for it is "long non-coding RNA (NTAB_LNC009408)". The record is from RNAcentral. Lineage: Eukaryota; Viridiplantae; Streptophyta; Magnoliopsida; Solanales; Solanaceae.
UUCCUGUAUUUUAGUCAGUUGAGUUAAUGAAUAUCAGACCUACUCAGGUAUCAGGCUAAAGUUUAAAACAGGCGAGUAGGGACUGAACUGAUAAAAAGCCUCUGUGUGCUGAUUUUCUAGGCUCCAGUUUGAAGUGAUUUCCAGGUCUUCUGCGUAUUCCUAAAUCAGAAAGAAAAAGAUGAGACUUUAUGCUUAUGUGAGUGCAUGCUUGUACAAUUGUUUAGUUUGCAAAGGGCUAUUCUUUUCAAACCUCUAUUCAUGGCUGUCUUUGCCAAGAUAUUACCUCAUGACUAUUUUCAUUUGCAGAACCGCUGUCGCUGAAAUCUACGUAGAUUGGUGUCUCUGGCUCAGAAUCAAGCAAUAUAUCUUUG